Molecule: ribosomal RNA, 559 nt
Filed under: uncultured bacterium
Lineage: Bacteria
Description: bacterial SSU rRNA
Rfam family: Bacterial small subunit ribosomal RNA
Source: RNAcentral
AAUAGAUACCCGGGUAGUCCACGCCGUAAACGAUGGAUGCUAGCUAUUGGGGGGAAUCGACCCCCGUCCGAAGCGAAGCUAACGCGUUAAGCAUCCCGCCUGAGUAGUACGAGCGCAAGCUUAAAACUCAAAGGAAUUGACGGGGACCCGCACAAGCGGUGGAGCGUGUGGUUUAAUUCGAUGGUAAACGAAGAACCUUACCAAGGUUUGACAUCCCGGUAGCCGUUCUCCGAAAGGAGAAUUUCAUUUAGUUGGACCGGUGACAGGUGAUGCAUGGCCGUCGUCAGCUCGUGUCGUGAGAUGUUGGGUUAAGUCCCGCAACGAGCGCAACCCUUAUGAUUUAGUUGGAUUUUUCUAAACAGACUGCCCUGGUAACAGGGAGGAAGGAGGGGAUGAUGUCAGGUCAGUAUUUCCCUUACACCUUGGGGCGACACACGCGCUACAAUGGCCGGUACAAUGGGCAGCUAAGCCGCGAGGUGGAGCAAAUCCCAUCAAAGCCGGUCCCAGUUCGGAUUGCAGGCUGAAACCCGCCUGCAUGAAGCCGGAAUCGCUAGUAACC